GGGUGCCCUGUAAAAGUGUGCCCUGCGUUACCUGCGCUCCUGUGACGGGCACCUCAGCGGCCGUGCCUGAGUAACUGCACCGCCGUAGGCAAAAUCAUCGUCCUGAAACUUGGCUAAGAGCCGUCAGACACCAUGUUCAGAUGACUCACCAGUAACUUGACUGCAAUGUAUGAAGCCUAAGCUCCACCAUAAGUGGGUAGUUUUUGGAAAAAGCAUUAUGGAUGGAUUAGAACUGCAGUCGGAAAAAGGAAGUUUGAUUGUGCUCACCACCCUCCGAUGUAUGCCCAGCCAGUCCGCAGGCAGUGAUCAGUGCCGCUCCCUGGCCAACUGCCCUUCCCACCCCCCCAGUUUUAUCAUUUAGCAUGAUUCCACAUGGUGUGGGAUAUCCCUUGGGUCAACUGGAGUCAGCUGUCCUGGCUGUGUCCCCUUCCAACUUCUUGUACACCUCCAGCCUCCUCCCUGGCAGGGCAGUAUGAGAAGCUGUGUGUUAUCAACAAUAUUCUCAUCCUAAAUCCAAAACACACCAUUUUAUCUGCUACUAGGAAGAAAAUUAACUAUCCCAG
Molecule: long non-coding RNA, 563 nt
Organism: Neopelma chrysocephalum (saffron-crested tyrant-manakin)
Lineage: Eukaryota; Metazoa; Chordata; Aves; Passeriformes; Pipridae
Exons: 3
Source: RefSeq, a predicted model, not a curated record